Molecule: ribosomal RNA, 467 nt
Filed under: uncultured bacterium
Lineage: Bacteria
Description: partial 16S ribosomal RNA
Rfam family: Bacterial small subunit ribosomal RNA
Source: RNAcentral
GACGAACGCUGGCGGCGUGCUUAACACAUGCAAGUCGAACGGAAAGGCCCUGCUUUUGUGGGGUGCUCGAGUGGCGAACGGGUGAGUAACACGUGAGUAACCUGCCCUUGACUUUGGGAUAACUUCAGGAAACUGGGGCUAAUACCGGAUAGGAGCUCCUGCUGCAUGGUGGGGGUUGGAAAGUUUCGGCGGUUGGGGAUGGACUCGCGGCUUAUCAGCUUGUUGGUGGGGUAGUGGCUUACCAAGGCUUUGACGGGUAGCCGGCCUGAGAGGGUGACCGGCCACAUUGGGACUGAGAUACGGCCCAGACUCCUACGGGAGGCAGCAGUGGGGAAUAUUGCACAAGGGGCGGAAGCCUGAUGCAGCAACGCCGCGUGCGGGAUGACGGCCUUCGGGUGGUAAACCGCUUUCGCCUGUGACGAAGCGUGAGGGACGGUAAUGGGUAAAGAAACACCGGCUAACUACGU